RNAcentral lists this small RNA (609 nucleotides) under Pongo abelii (Sumatran orangutan). RNAcentral's name for it is "retained intron". Lineage: Eukaryota; Metazoa; Chordata; Mammalia; Primates; Hominidae. The record is from RNAcentral.
GCGCACCGACCGGCCUCGAGCGCCCCGGCGGGAGGUUUUUCUAUAUGAGUGGAGAAGACAGCUGUUACCAGGGAGGUCAUACAGCAUUUUUUUAGGAUGUCUGAAGAUGAAGAAAAAGUGAAAUUACGCCGUCUUGAACCAGCUAUCCAGAAAUUCAUUAAGAUAGUAAUCCCAACAGACCUGGAAAGGUUAAGAAAGCACCAGAUAAAUAUUGAGAAGUAUCAAAGGUGCAGAAUCUGGGACAAGUUGCAUGAAGAGCAUAUCAAUGCAGGACGUACAGUUCAGGUAAGGCUUUUAUAUUUUUUCUGCUAAAUCAGUAUGAAAAAGACAGUCUUAAGACAAUUUUGCUAAAAUAUUACCUUUGCAGCUGAACCCUUUUAUACACAUUUGUUACUGUUUACUUGAGGAUACAUUUUUAGCAGAAAUUGCUGAGUCACAUGCCAUACAUAUUUUUAAAGUUUGUUUUAUUACCAAAUUUUCCUCCAGAAAUGAUACACAGACUUAUACUCUCACAAGCAAUACAUUUUGUAAAUCCUUUAACAUUGGUAUUAACCAUUUCUUAAAUUUUUGCUAAUUGAUAGGUUAAAAUUGUGCCACUUCAUUGUUCUA